GACGAACGCUGGCGGCGUGCUUAACACAUGCAAGUCGAGCGGUAAGGCCCUUUCGGGGUACGACGAGCGGCGAACGGGUGAGUAACACGUGGGUGACCUGCCCUCAGCGUCUGGGAUAAAGCCGUGGGAAAACCGGGUCCUAAUACCGGAUAUGACUCCAUGACGCAUGUUGUGGGUGGAAAGCCUUGUGCGGCUGAGGAUGGGCCCGCGGCCUAUCAGCUUGUUGGUGGGGNGAUGGCCUACCAAGGCGACGACGGGUAGCCGGCCUGAGAGGGCGACGGCCACACUGGGACUGAGACACGGCCCAGACUCCUACGGGAGGCAGCAGUGGGGAAUCUUGCGCAAUGGGCGAAAGCCUGACGCAGCGACGCCGCGUGAGGGAUGACGGCC
RNAcentral lists this ribosomal RNA (390 nucleotides) under uncultured bacterium. RNAcentral's name for it is "bacterial SSU rRNA". It matches the Rfam family "Bacterial small subunit ribosomal RNA", at positions 28 to 416 of the family's 1533-position model. The record is from RNAcentral.